AGUGAACGCUGGCGGUAGGCCUAACACAUGCAAGUCGAACGGCAGCACAGUAAGAGCUUGCUCUUACGGGUGGCGAGUGGCGGACGGGUGAGGAAUACAUCGGAAUCUACUUUUUCGGGGGGGAUAACGUAGGGAAACUUACGCUAAUACCGCAUACGACGUACGGGUGAAAGCAGGGGUUCUUCGGACCUUGCGCGAUUGAAUGAGCUGAUGUCGGAUUAGCUAGUUGGCGGGGUAAAGGCCCACCAAGGCGACGAUCCGUAGCUGGUCUGAGAGGAUGAUCAGCCACACUGGAACUGAGACACGGUCCAGACUCCUACGGGAGGCAGCAGUAGGGAAUAUUGGACAAUGGGCGCAAGCCUGAUCCAGCCAUACCGCGUGAGUGAAGAAGGCCUUCGGGUUGUAAAGCCCUUUUGUUGGGAGAGAAAAGCAGCAGGUUAAUACCCCGCUGUUCUGACGGUACCCAAAGAAUAAGCACCGGCUAACUUCGUG
Molecule: ribosomal RNA, 492 nt
Filed under: uncultured bacterium
Lineage: Bacteria
Description: partial 16S ribosomal RNA
Rfam family: Bacterial small subunit ribosomal RNA
Source: RNAcentral